AAGGGUAGCAAUACCUGAGUAAAGUGGCGUACGGGUGAGUAACACGUGAAUCAUCUACCUUCGAGUGUGGAAUAACUGAGAGAAAUCUUAGCUAAUACCUCAUAAUACCUACGGGUCAAAGCAGCAAUGCGCUUGAAGAGGAGUUCGCGGCAGAUUAGUUAGUUGGCGGGGUAAUGGCCCACCAAGACGAUGAUCUGUAUCCGGCCUGAGAGGGCGCACGGACACACUGGAACUGAAACACGGUCCAGACUCCUACGGGAGGCAGCAGUGGGGAAUUUUGCGCAAUGGGGGAAACCCUGACGCAGCAACGCCGCGUGGAGGAUGAAAUCCCUUGGGAUGUAAACUCCUUUCGAUAGGGAAGAUAAUGACGGUACCUAUAGAAGAAGCCCCGGCUAACUUCGUGCCAGCAGCCGCGGUAAUACGAGGGGGGCAAGCGUUGUUCGGAAUUAUUGGGCGUAAAGGGUGCGUAGGCGGUUUGACAAGUCUUGUGUGAAAUCUAUGGGCUCAACCCAUAGUCUGCACAAGAAACUGUCGGGCUUGAGUAUGGGAGAGGUGAGUGGAAUUUCCGGUGUAGCGGUGAAAUGCGUAGAUAUCGGAAGGAACACCUGUGGCGAAAGCGGCUCACUGGACCAUAACUGACGCUGAUGCACGAAAGCUAGGGGAGCAAACAGGAUUAGAUACCCUGGUAG
This 689-nucleotide ribosomal RNA is filed under the name uncultured bacterium. RNAcentral's name for it is "bacterial SSU rRNA". It matches the Rfam family "Bacterial small subunit ribosomal RNA", at positions 72 to 793 of the family's 1533-position model. The record is from RNAcentral.